This 1044-nucleotide unclassified non-coding RNA is filed under the name Hevea brasiliensis (rubber tree). Lineage: Eukaryota; Viridiplantae; Streptophyta; Magnoliopsida; Malpighiales; Euphorbiaceae. The record is from RNAcentral.
UAAAACUCCCGUGGCACGUCUCCUUCAAUGUAUUUCUUUUAUUCUCCUUUGUGUUAUUGGUGAAUCUUAGUAAAAUAUAUGCAUACAAAGAGAAGAAUAAUAGUAUCAUGGAAGUUGGAAUUUUCCUUUGAUUUCAUUUGCUUGCUAUUAAUCUUUUGAAUUCAAUACUCAUUUUCUAUUAUCAUUCUUUGUCAUUGUUCACAUUUAUCUGCUUUAUUUUCAGAAUACAAAAGCAAAGACAGCACCAAACAAAUUGUAAAAACUGAAUUGAACUUGAAACAAGGUACCCAGAUUUUGAACUUGGAAAUGGAUAAAAGAAUUCAACAAGGUAACUGGGAAAUAAACUUAGAACUGAGUACUUUAACUAGGUAAAACAAACACUAGUUGGAUAUGAGGGAGCAACAAAAUAUUCAUAGCAAAACAAACAAAACCAUAAAUCUGAGAAGUUGAAACACAACAGAAAUUUUCAUUUUCUUUUUCUUCAUUUUCAACACAAAGUUUCUUACAAGAACUUCCAACUGUCUCCACUCUCUCUACUUUCUCUCAAAUUCACUCUUCUUCCUUUCAUUGACAAUAAACAAAGAUUUUACACAAACCUUUUUCCGGUCUAGUCAAUAUCAAUUUUGACCCAAACACAACCUCACUAGCUACAUGAUAAGCCUCAAACCCUUAAAUCAUGAAUCAACUUUCCGCCUAAUCUAAACAAAAUAAUUACAAGUUGCUUAAAAUGAGAAAAUUGCAAUUUUCAAAGUUUUUAAGAAAAUUGCUAUCUGAUUCAACAUUAUCAUGUAGAACUUCAUAUAUUUUCUAUUGGAUUAUGGAGUAUACAUUGUUUUGUAACUAACACAGUGCGCAAAUUAAGAUUAGACUUGAAGACCUACAUUUUCCAUAUUUCACAAGGAUUUUUAUUUUUAGUUGGAUUAUUUAUUUUCCUAAAUAAGUUUUAUUUAUAUUUCCUAGUUUACAUAGGACUGCAAAUAUUAUUCUUAUUUAGUUUACAUCUUUUAAAUUAUUUCCUAUUUCCUACUUAGAUUAGGAUUUAAA